AUGCAAGUCAACUUGACUGAAGAGCAAGUCUGACAGUAGAGUGGCGCAAGGGUGACGUAACGCGUAAGUAACUGCCCAAGGUAGGAAUAACGUCGAGAAUCCGGCGCUAAGUACCUCAUAAUGCAGCGGAUCCGCAUGGAUAUGUUGUUAAAGGUUUACCGCCUUGGGAUAGGCUUGCGUCUGAUUAGCUAGUUGGUGUGGUAACGGCACACCAAGGCUACGAUCAGUAACUGGUCUGAGAGGAUGAUCAGUCACACUGGAACUGAGACACGGUCCAGACUCCUACGGGAGGCAGCAGUGAGGAAUAUUGGGCAAUGCUCGAAAGAGUGACCCAGCAACGCCGCGUGGAGGAUGAAGGUAUUCUAUAUCGUAAACUCCUGUGAGAGCAGACGAAAGACAGAUUAUUAAUCUGGAUGACUGUAUGCUCAGAGGAAGCCCCGGCUAACUACGUG
This 452-nucleotide ribosomal RNA is filed under the name uncultured bacterium. RNAcentral describes it as "bacterial SSU rRNA". It matches the Rfam family "Bacterial small subunit ribosomal RNA", at positions 55 to 507 of the family's 1533-position model. The record is from RNAcentral.